AAAUUGAGACCGGCAAUAUGCGUGAUUGGGGAAUUCAUGUGGAGGUCAGAGUGGAAGCAGGUGUGAGAGGGUCCAGCAGAAGAAAACAUGGCUGCCAAAGUGUUUGAGUCCAUCGGCAAGUUUGGCCUGGCCUUAGCUGUUGCAGGAGGCGUGGUGAACUCAGCCUUAUGUAAUGUGGAUGCUGGGCACAGAGCUGUCACCUUUGACCGAUUCCGUGGAGUACAGGACAUUGUGGUAGGGGAAGGGACUCACUUUCUCACCCAUGGGUACAGAAACCUGUUAUCUUUGACUGCCGUUCUCGGCCACGUGAUGUGCCAGUCAUCACUGGUAGCAAAGAUUUACAGAAUGUCAACAUCACACUGCACAUCCUCUUCCGGCCCAUUGCUAGCCAGCUGCCUCACAUCUUCACCAGCAUCGGAGAGGACUAUAAUGAGCGUGUGCUGCUGUCCAUCACGACCAAGAUCCUCAAGUCAGUGGUGGCUGGCUUUGAUGCUGGAGAACUAAUCACCCAGAGAGAGCUGGUCUCCAGGCAGGUGAGCGACGACCUUACAGAGAGAGCAGCCACCUUUGGGCUCAUCCUGGACGAUGUGUCCUUGACACAUCUGACCUUCGGGAAGGAGUUCACAGAAGCGGUGGAAGCCAAACAGGUGGCUCAGCAGGAAGCAGAGAGGGCCAGAUUUGUAGUGGAAAAGGCUGAGCAGCAGAAAAAGGUGGCUAUCAUCUCUGCUGAGGGCGACUCCAAGGCAGCUGAGCUGAUUGCCAACUCACCGGCCACCACAGGGGACGGCCUGAUCGAGCUGCGAAAGCUGGAAGCCUCGGAGGACAUACCAGCUGUCACGCUCUCGGAACAUCACCUACCUGCCGGUGGGGCAGUCCGUGCUCCUCCAGCUGCCCCAGUGAAGGCCCACCCUACCUGCA
Molecule: non-coding RNA, 918 nt
Organism: Saimiri boliviensis boliviensis (Bolivian squirrel monkey)
Lineage: Eukaryota; Metazoa; Chordata; Mammalia; Primates; Cebidae
Source: RefSeq, a predicted model, not a curated record